GACGUAGGGGGCAAGCGUUGUCCGGAAUCAUUGGGCGUAAAGCGCGUGUAGGCGGCCCGGUAAGUCCGCUGUGAAAGUCCAGGGCUCAACCCUGGAAUGCCGGUGGAUACUGUCGGGCUCGAGUCCGGAAGAGGCGAGUGGAAUUCCUGGUGUAGCGGUGAAAUGCGCAGAUAUCAGGAGGAACACCGAUGGCGAAGGCAGCUCGCUGGGACGGUACUGACGCUGAGACGCGAAAGCGUGGGGAGCAAACAGG
This 253-nucleotide ribosomal RNA is filed under the name uncultured bacterium. RNAcentral describes it as "partial 16S ribosomal RNA". It matches the Rfam family "Bacterial small subunit ribosomal RNA", at positions 524 to 776 of the family's 1533-position model. The record is from RNAcentral.